GGACCUGACUGCUAUCGGAUUGAUACUAAGCCAUGCGAGUCAUUGUAGCAAUACAAGGCAUACGGCUCAGUAACGCGUAGUCAACCUAACCUAUGGACGGGAAUAACCUCGGGAAACUGAGAAUAAUGCCCGAUAGAACAUUAUGCCUGGAAUGGUUUAUGUUCCAAAUGAUUUAUCGCCGUAGGAUGGGACUGCGGCCUAUCAGUUUGUUGGUGAGGUAAUGGCCCACCAAGACUAUUACAGGUACGGGCUCUGAGAGGAGUAGCCCGGAGAUGGGUACUGAGACACGGACCCAGGCCCUAUGGGGCGCAGCAGGCGAGAAAACUUUGCAAUGUGCGAAAGCACGACAAGGUUAAUCCGAAUGGUUUCUGCUAAAGAAACCUUUUGUCAGUCCUAGAAACACUGAUGAAUAAGGGGUGGGCAAGUUCUGGUGU
RNAcentral lists this ribosomal RNA (434 nucleotides) under uncultured archaeon. RNAcentral's name for it is "bacterial SSU rRNA". It matches the Rfam family "Archaeal small subunit ribosomal RNA", at positions 19 to 458 of the family's 1478-position model. The record is from RNAcentral.